This is a long non-coding RNA of Dioscorea cayenensis subsp. rotundata (Guinea yam), 856 nucleotides long. RefSeq lists it as uncharacterized. The record is from RefSeq and is a predicted model, not a curated record. The transcript is spliced from 4 exons. Lineage: Eukaryota; Viridiplantae; Streptophyta; Magnoliopsida; Dioscoreales; Dioscoreaceae.
UUGUUAGCCCUAGUUUGUCAAAUCCCUAAUCUUUCAUCAUCUUGAUUUUUCGCCGGAACUUCGCCGGAACUCCACCGUGAACUCUUGCUUGGCUAUUGUUCUGCUCAUACCUCCCUCCCUAUAGUGCUGAUGGCCGAUGAAAAAAUUGCGUUAGCUAAAAUGCUUCUCGCUCAAAUUACGUUGGAUAAUCCUUUCAUGAAAUUGCUACGUUUAUACCAUUUAGCAGCAGCUCAAGUUGUUAUCACUGUAAUUGGUUGGCUUAUCAUACAUGAAAGACUGCUUGAAGGAGACCAAACAAGAAAAAUUAACUUGGUCAUGGCGGUUGAGUCGGUAGCUAAUGCUAUUGUUCAAUCAACCAAUGCAAUGAUUCAAGCAUCAAAUGCUAUGACAGAAAAAUUCAUAAAUAUUUUGGAAGAAUGUGCUGCAAACCGAGAUCCACUUAAAGAUUUUGAUGUAUGGGGUUUGCUUACGGACAUGGGAAUAACACAACCUCUUCUUAACAAAACUUAUAUGUUCCUUAUCAAAGAACCAAAGAUGUUGGGAGGUGUGAUUGGAUGUCCAGAUGAGCAUCGCAAAUCUUUGUUGUUAAAGUUAAUGGGUUGUGAUCAUGAAUCGCACAACUAAAAUGUAAGGCCUAUGCUCUUUAAUACAAAUCUUGAUCAACAUGUGAAAACUUUGAUAUAGCAGCUGAGGGGAAGUUGUGCCUGGCUACUAUUUUUGUAAUGAUGUGUUAGCCAUUGUUUCAUUGUCUAAGAACUUGAAUUGUGUAAUGAUGAAAAAAUUUUAGUGAAUGUCAUCUAAUGUAAGUGUGGACUGCACUGAUUUUUCAUUGGAAAGUGAAUUUCUGGUCUUGCUU